UGUUGGAGUUGUAGCAUCAGGAUCAAGAUUGCCAGCUGGGUCUAUCCAACAUCUUUACCUUAGCUGGCUGUUACUUUAGGAAAAUUAUUAGGUUAGGAGCGGGAGAGAGGAGGGAGAUGGACACGUCCCAAACACGACAGGCACCGGAGGAAUACCAGUUUGUGCACAGAAGGGCUGGACAUGUCAUGGUGGCCCACAAUAAGAGACUCUAUGUUUGGGGAGGCUAUAUGGAGCUGCCCCACUCGCGACCUUACACCUUGAUGACCAACAGCAAGUCAUCCUACCACAGUGCCAUUGACGUGUGGGUGUUUGAUCCGCUCCUCAGCACAUGGACGAGGAAGAUGAGCCGCGGGGACAUUCCACAGCAGCUCUCCGGCUCCUGUGCGGCCGUCCACGAAGAUCACAUGUACAUGUUUGGAGGCUGGGCAAACAUUGCAUCUGAUAAUAUGGAAAAUAAUCUCAAUUCCCUUUGGCGUCUUCAUCUCCCCACACUGACUUGGAAGUUGCUCCGGCCUGAGGGGAUGCCUCCCUUCCCCUGUGACAAAGCUGCCUGCUGGGUCCACAAUAAUAGGUUUUUUGUGUUUGGUGGCUUUGGUCCGGCCAUAAACUCAAGUCGGGUGGAAGAAGUCAUCGUCAACUUUGUAAGGGACGAUGUUUACUACAGUGGCUGGAUUGAUCAGCUGGUCUACUAUGACAUAGACAAUAACGUAUGGAUGUGGCCCAGAACGAAGGGGGUGAAGCCGACCCCCCGAGCAGCACAUGCAGCAGACGUGUGUGGGGACAAGGUGUACAUAUUUGGUGGUAGAUUUAAGAAUGCAAGAAUGAAUGAACUGCACUGCUUAGAUCUUAGGAACUGGACGUGGAGUGGAAACUUGAUGGACGACACCCUGCAAGAGGUCCCCGAUGGCCGGUCUUGGCACACGUUCAAGUUUGUAUCAGAGAAUAAGGCUGUGGUGUAUGGAGGAUUCAACUCUUCAGAACAAGUUCUAAACGACAUUUGGCUGCUGGACAUCAGAAGCAGGAAGUGGUGCAGGACCCCCAAACCACGUGCCAGCUCUCGGCUCUGGCACACUGCAGCCGUCGCCCAUCCGGGUGAAAUAACGUUUUAUGGGGGAAUUCAGAACAAUUUGCUGGAUCACACGAGGCCAAAGGACCAUGCUGAAGAAAUGCUAGUGCUGAGAUUUAGUCCUCCUUGCUUAAAGAGGUAAAUAUAAGCAUGAACUUCAGAUGACUUCAUGAGUACAUCAGUAAGCUGCAUUCAACCUAUUUGAAAUGGCUGACCAUUGAGGCAAUCUGUGAAACUGGUGAGGAACUGCAAUCCCAGUGGAAAGUGCUACCCCAGACACUACAACACAUCCUGGCUGUGCGUCUCUCGCCCGACAACAUCAGUUAGCACACGAUGCCAGUGGAGGACGGCAAUACCAGCGCUCUUAUCACUCUGCAGAUUGGCUCAAAACCCACAGAGGUACAGAAGUGCUUGUCACCGCCCCCAGCUGUACCCCACUUUCCCGACGUCUAUUACUGCAUUCCUGUUCUGAUUAUUGUCAUCAUUACACUAAACCUGUUGAUUGUUAUUCUUUCUCAACUGGGAUGUUUCUAAUUUUUGGCUCUAGCUUGUUUGGUGCAUUGUCUUUCUUCCGUGAGAGUAAUUGUUUGAUAAUAUUGAACUUUGAGUGCCUUCAGAAGUUUCCCAACCUGAGUACGUACGUAUACAUAGUCACGUAGCCAAAGCAUAAGUUCUGACCUGCUGUAAUGCACCAAUAAUGAAUAUUAUAGUAUACACUUUUAAUUUAUUAUUUUCUUAAAACAGACAUGCAGAUUAGCUAAUGGACAAUAAGUCACAUGGGCAAGAUUUUGUUAUCCUGAGUCAGUGUAUACUCAGUACCACAGAGGUUUCAUGUGAAGCAAAAAUACAAGACAAUUAUGAGAUUAAAGCGAAGAAGUUGUCCACAGCAACUGUGGCUGUCAGUCCCGUCACUGUACGGAUGUUACUCAAUCCAUGCUUGGUAGUUAGACCAAAACUGUUGUAAUGAACUCAAGAAGUGGUUUUCUAAAUUUUAAAUGUUUGGUAGCUUGGAGUAGAACUGUGGUAACUUAAUGAAAACUGGUAAUCUAAAUUUUAUCAGGUUGUAAAAUGUUGUUUGCACAUAAAAAUGCUAUUUGAUUCAAGGGCAUGUUCAACACUGUAAUUUGCAAUUAAUUCAUGUGAUGUAACUCUGAGAUCGAAAUACUGGAUAGAUUUUAGAGAACACUGUUUUUAUGUGCAACUGCAUUACAGGUCACUUUAUAACAAGUGUACUACUAUAUUGCUUAAGUUUCUGCUUCAACAAACAUCAGCUAGAGAUUAUUUUCAUUUUCUCUUUGAUUUACUAUACACAGGGAUCACCAAACCAUGGCCUACAGGCCGGACCAGGGCCACAACGUCAGUUCAUCAGGUUUGGCGAUGGUUCUUGACUUUGCUUGAUAAGAUUUAUGGAGAGUCCUGUUUUGCUUUUACAGGCCUCAAAGUGAAAUACAUGUUUUCUUAUUGAAAAAAGAUGAAGCUGAUCCACAGCUGUCACAUCCCAAAUACUCUUGAACUAGACUUGAAACUUCAUGGAAAGCAUAACCUUGUCCAUGAUAUCUACAGAAUCAUCAAAGGAUUUCAUAGAAAGCUGUCUCUGUUUGAAGCACAACUGGGAGGAGAAAACUUCUCUCAUUUUCAUGCUUUCAAAGGGUUUUGUGCUACAAUCACUCAAUAUAUUAAUCUUGAUUUUCUAAAAAGAUUAUUCGUGACUUGAAGCAUUUUUGAAGAGAUUUUGAGAUCUCGACAGAAUUGAGUGACAUUAGUAUGUUCCAGAAUCAGUUUGAUCAUAACCUUGAUGAUGUGCCACUUGAACUACAAUUGGAAUCUAUUUCUACAAGCAAAUGACUUGUUGAAAGAGAAGUACAGAGAAGAAAAACUUGUUGAAUUUUACUGCUGCUUUCCUUAUGUUGAGUUUCCAUAAACGAAGAAAUUUACAGUUGGUAUGGCAUCAGUGUUUGGAACAACUGAAGUCUGUGAGCAAACACUUAAAAAAAAUUAAGUACAUGUGAAGUCAACAAGAUUGACUGAUGAAUAUUUGAAGGCAACUCUCUUGAUUGAAUGCAGCAUUGCCAAACCAAACAUUAAUGACAUCCGGAAAGCUAAACAUCAGUCUCACAGAUCUCAUUAACCUUUUUUGCUGAUUAGUUUGUGAGAUUCAGAUAUUGCACACCAGGUAUGAUGUAACCAUCUUUUUGCUGACGUUGCCUUCUUUUUCUUUGUUUUUUGUACAUUACAUGCCUAUGAUUAACUUGGAAUGCUAAGCUUAAUAUUUUGUCUUUUUUCCCCCAGAGCUUUCUUCCUGGCUUGCAAGUAUUGAACAGAAUGAUGAUGCAGUCUGCACUCGUCAUUCUUUCAGUUAUUGGGCCCCCCAUUAAAAAAGUUUGGUGAUUCCUGAUUUAGUAAAAUUUACAAAAUUUAGAAGAAAAAUAGUGGAAUAUUCCUGUGAUGCAAAGUGGUUUGCUGACUCUGUGACAGACAGAAAUAGACAUCUUGCCAGCUCAUUGGUGGAACAAAUCUGGCUUUACUCUUCUUGAUUUGGUGGAAAAUUCCACUAUUUUAGAGAAAGUGAAAAGGCCUUGAACUGGUAGUUGAAUAGCGUGCAGUGUUGAAUACUGGUUUUACUUUGCUUUCUUACCAUGCAGCAACUCUUUCUAUGCAUGAAAGGUGGCACCUGUGGAGAAACAAAGAUUUUUUUUUCCUGCAGCCUGUGCAUUCAAGAUGGAAAGUUAACACAUGUGGUUGUCAUGCAGUUAACUUUUACAUGCAAGACAGCAUCCAAGAGAAAAAAUAGAAAGAAAUCAGAACAGGAAUUCAAUCCAUAUAACUAGUUUUUAAACAAAAAAAAUACAAUUUACUCGAACACAAA
This 3932-nucleotide unclassified non-coding RNA is filed under the name Portunus trituberculatus (swimming crab). RNAcentral's name for it is "kelch domain-containing protein 2-like, transcript variant X4". The record is from RNAcentral. Lineage: Eukaryota; Metazoa; Arthropoda; Malacostraca; Decapoda; Portunidae.